This 24-nucleotide non-coding RNA is filed under the name Arabidopsis thaliana (thale cress). Lineage: Eukaryota; Viridiplantae; Streptophyta; Magnoliopsida; Brassicales; Brassicaceae. The record is from RNAcentral.
AGUUGAUUUGCAAGGCUGUCGUAC